AACUUCACAGUUCGUUCAUCAAGGGAUAUGUGUGGGUCUCCAUCGACAGGACAAGUUGCCUGCUUCUUGAAGACCUUCUAUGAUGAUGCGCAACAUUGGCAAUUAUCGUACGUGUGAUCAUGGAUGCCUCCAUCUCCCUGCAAAGUGUGUGUCAUCAGACAUUGCAGCACAUCAUACCUACGACAGACGGUGGUGCGUGCCUUGUGCUGAAGACCUUCCAAGGUGGCCUGGGCAGUUACCGCACUUAAGAGCAUAGUUUGACGUAGGAGCUGCCAAGGCGUCCUGUCCAUUUCACGUGAACAGUGGCCAGCACUGGAAGAAGCAAUCUUUGGACUGCUGUAAUGCAUUCUUUGGGCACGUAAAUAAAUUACUUUGAAUCAGAGACCUGGUGUUUGCACAGCCGCUCCACAGA
This is a long non-coding RNA of Ixodes scapularis (black-legged tick), 412 nucleotides long. RefSeq lists it as uncharacterized. The transcript is spliced from 4 exons. The record is from RefSeq and is a predicted model, not a curated record. NCBI's taxonomy places the organism in Eukaryota, Metazoa, Arthropoda, Arachnida, Ixodida, Ixodidae.